Molecule: long non-coding RNA, 1524 nt
Organism: Brassica napus (rape)
Lineage: Eukaryota; Viridiplantae; Streptophyta; Magnoliopsida; Brassicales; Brassicaceae
Exons: 7
Source: RefSeq, a predicted model, not a curated record
CCAAACUAUUGUUUCAUUCUCCAAAAUAUAAUAAAAAUAAUAACUUAAUCGUCUUAUCCUAGUUAUUAUUUUAAAAGGGAUAUUAAUUGUAAAAGCGUUGUUUACCAAAGAAAGUGGAACACCGUUUGUUGCCGAUCGGCCCUCUCCGAUCUGAUUCGAUAUUCUUUCUGGUAGGCUUUCUCCGAGACCUUUUGCUUUCUUCGUGAGAAGGUUUGUUGUGUCCAUCUCAAAUUGUUCCCGUCGAAACCGAAACCUUUCCUGGUCUAGUCUAAUUGGUUGAUCGCUUCAAACCCCUAAUUUCAGUGGCCUUAUGCAAAUACACACCCAGCCAUGCCCUGUAUUAAACUUCGUUUAGCUUUUGGAUCCCUGUCUGUCUGAUUAGGACUCGUUUUUUACUAAGAAAAAAAAAAAAAAAAGGAGAGGAUGGGGGCCUCCGAAGAAGAAGAGAAUAGCACAUUGUUUCCCAUUUUCACUCUGUUGGUCAAGUUGACCCGUGCUGUCUCCAAGAAACAAAGGGUGUGACCGCUCUGGCAAAUAUAAGAGAUCCCGUAAAUUUAAUUCCACUCAUCUCAAUAUUGAUACUCUCCUCUUAACUUGUUGAUAUUUUCUCCGCCGCAGAUCUCUAACUUGUCUACUUGUGCUACUAUGGGUCGUCAUGAUUUUCUUAAUUUAUUACACUAAGAACAUGAGCCGUGAGUAUACUUGGCUUGGAACGUGGAGUUUCAGAUUCCGACAUUUAUAGAAGAAGGGCUGUCCAUUCAAUACCAUCCUCAUCCAGGUCCAAAUGCUUUCUUCUCUUCUCGUUGAUACUUCCUCCCUUUUUUUUUUUUAAUUAUUAUUACGGCUGCACCUCACCUCACAGUUUUAGGCCAACAAAUAUUUUGUGGAGUCCAUCUCUAAAGCAUACCAGGCUUUGACUGACCCAGUAUCCCGUGAAAACUUUGAAAGGUAUGGGUCAUCCAGGGCUUUCAAAUGGGCAUUGCUCUUCCUCAAUUUCUCCUUGACAUAGAUGGAGCAUCCGGUGGCAUAUUAUUGCUCUGGAUUGUCGGUCAAAGGCGGCUUGUGAGCUAAGUUUGGACCCCAAGAACAUGAAGCAAGAGCAAGCUAAAGUCUUGGAAGCAGCAUCCUGCCAUAGUGAAGACGGAGCUGUUGAUACAGGCCCAACACUAGUCCUAAAUGGCAGGACAUUCUAGGGCAAUAUUCUAUGGUGAAUCUCGAGCUCUUUAACAUUGUGGAAGAGGUGAAGAAAGUCUCCAAGGCCUUUGUUGUGCUUCUAGUCAAUGCUGAGAAUGCUCAAAGUUGGGAUCGGGUGAAAAAAUCUUGCUUUACAGGAAGGUUAGUUGUUCUAUGUAUAACUUUCUGUUUUAUUAAAAAUGAUCAUUUUUCUUGGACUUGUAUUAUCGUGUUAUUUAAAUUAUUUUUAGUUUCUAAACAAAUUCUUGUUUUUUGAAUUGUAUAGUGUUCGUUAAAAGACCAAUUUUUUUGGAUUGGUUUGAUGGAAAUAAGUGAUUAUUGACAAACUAA